GCGAUCGUAGUGAAAUGGUUAUCAUAGAAGCCUGUGGAGCUUCAGUCCGGGGUUCAACUCCCCGCGAUCGCCCCA
Molecule: transfer RNA, 75 nt
Filed under: Candidatus Woesearchaeota archaeon
Lineage: Archaea; Nanobdellati; Candidatus Woesearchaeota
Description: tRNA-His
Rfam family: tRNA
About the family: Transfer RNA (tRNA) molecules are approximately 80 nucleotides in length.
Source: RNAcentral